CAGAAACCCAACACAUGUAUAUCUGAUGGACUGACUGGAGUUCAAAAAAAUAGAUGAAGGAAGAUUUGCUGUUAUCUCAGCAAGAAGAUAAAAGAAACCUAACACCGAAAAUGUGAUGACCUGGCUGAAGUUCAAAAGAUGAAAAUGUGAUGACCGGGCUGGAGUUCAAAAGACAGGUGAAGGAAGAUUUGCAAUUAUUUCAGCAAGAAGAUAAAAGAUUUGGAGACUGUGAAGUUUAAGAUUCGACAACCAGCAUGGUCGGUGAGGGUCCUCUUCGUAGUUUGCGGAUGGCCUUCUGCUUAUAUCGUCACAUAGUGGAGGGGAAGAAAGAGAGGAAGAGCCAGAGAGCCAGAGAGAGGGUCCCCCCUGUCUCUUGUUAGAAGGAGACUAAUUCUAUUGUGAGGGCUCCACCCUCAUGACCUAAUUACCUCCCAAACGCCCCCCCAUCUCCAAAACCAUCACAUUAAGAAUUAGAGUUUCAAAAUGUGAAUUUUGAGAAGAGAUGCCCGUUCAGCCUAUAACACGUUGGAAAGUGGAACUGUAGGGGAGGAACUCUAUCUGGCAUCGGAGCCAUGGAGGAAACUCAGUAGCUGCUGCAGGUGCUGCUUAAGACAGAAGGAGACAGUGAUAUCAACUCUCCACCUUCCACCAGGGCUUCCCACUGGCCCGAGCUACCCGGAAACACAUAGGCAAUCCUGGGAAAGGCAUCCUUUUUCAUGGAGGGGUUUGUUAGAGAAGGGAGAAGGGAAAAGGAAGGAGCCUGAGGUAUAGAGCUGAUGAAGCCCAGAGGAAGACUGGAAAGAGGCCAUUUUCAGUUUGAAAUCUCUAUAUUUAACAUAAACAAUCUUCAAAUUUUAGAUAAGAACAUUGUUGCAAUAAUGUGACUGGCCUGAGUACAACUGAGGUGAGAUUAAAACAUGAAAUUCUUGUUCAUACAUGACUUCAGAAAUCAGUCUUUCUAGUCUCAUUUUAUUUCAAACUAACAGUCCUGUAAGAAACAAAAUUAUUUUCUAAGAAGUAAUUAAAAUCAUGCAGUUGAUUAAAUAAAAGGAGACUAGAAAAUAAGCACAAUUUUACUAUAGUGAGCUUUUGAAUUUGGUCCAAAAAUGUAUCCAUGGGGAAAACACAUUUGCUAUAAAUUAAUCCCCAAUGUGCUUUAAACGAAAAUUAUUUCCAAACAAAUCCAGUUUAUAAAAGGUCAUUGAACUUUCCCUUUGAUAAAAUACUCAUUUCCUUAAACACUGCUGCUAAGUGUUCAUGGAAAAAAAAACUGAACAUGGAAUCUGGAAUAGCAUCUAAUUGAAACAGAGGCCAAGUGCCAAGGCUGUAUAUCCCUCACUGCCAUUAAUUGCUUAUGCAAACUUUGGUAAAUUAAUUACCAAAGGAUGUCUCAGCUCUGACUUGUAGUACUUAAGAAUAAAUAUUCCUGUCCCAUUAAUCACACAGUUGUAUUAAGGUUCAAAAUAAUUUGAUGUUUAUAAAGUACAACAUGUAAAAAGUUAAUAAAGUACAACAUUGUAAAAUUAAAAAUGACUAAGUCAUAAAAUAGCGACAAUCAUUCAAAAUGGGAAUGUAAAUUAGUUCAUCCCCUAUGGUAGACAGUAUGGAUAUUUCUCAAAGAACUAACAAUAGAAUUACCAUUUCAUCCAGCAGUCCCACUACUGGGUAUCUGCCAAGGGAAAAGAAAUUGUUUUAUCAAAAAGACACCAUAUUCCUAUGUUUAUCACAGCAUUAUUCACAAUAGAAAAGUCAUAGAAUCAACCUAAGCAUCCAUCAGUGGUGGAAUGGAUAAAAGAAAUGUGGUACAUAGGCACCAUGGUAUACUAAGCAGCCAUAAUAAAGAAUUAAAUCAUGUCCUUCGCAGCAACAUGGAUACAGCUAGAGGCCAUUAUCCUAAAUGAACUAACUCAGAAACAAAAAAUAAAAUAUUUCAUGUCCUCAUUUAUAAGUGGGAGCUAAACAAUGGGUACACAUUAACAUAAAAAUGAAAACAAUAGAUAGUGGGGACUUCAAAAGUAGGGAUAGCAGAACAGGGUGAGGAUGAAAAAUUUGCCUAUUAAGUACAGUAUUAUGUUAAUUAUUUGCGUGAUGGGGUCACUAGAAGCCUAAACCCAGCACUACACAAUAUAUCCAUGUAACAAAUCUGCACAUGUACUCCCUGAAUCUGUAAUUUUAAUAAUAAGAAGAACUCUUUAACAAACUUCUAAAAUAAUGUAGUGUACAUUCACUGUUUAUUGCAGAAGGAGCUUUCAGGAGAAUUGCUUAUAUAAAUUAAUUGAACUGAAAAAAAAACUUCAGUAAAGUGAUUCUCUAGAAUAUUGUAGACAUUAAAAUUUGCUUUCAAAAAUCCCAGAACUUUGGAACUAACCAAAUUUAUCCUAUUUGCCAGUUAAGUGUUGAAAAUAUUAACUGUAUAAUAAUAUAACAAUUAUUAUUUUUAUUAUUAUUUGUUUAUUAAUUUUGUUUGUUGUGGCUUUUUUAAAGUCAGGCACAAUUAUUUUUUGAAAUAUCAUCAAUGUUAUUAUCAACCCUUGAGACUGAGGGAAAUGAAAACAAUGAACUAGUUAAAUUGAAGAGAUCCUUCCGAUAUUGAAUAAUUAUUAAAUACAUAGAAAUUGCAUAGGGAAUAAAAACAGUUCUGUAUCACUUGACAAUAUUAUCUUAUUUUAGUCUAAGACAAUAACAAAAAGAAAAGAUUUCCUAACAGAUAAAUAAACUAAUAUAUUAAUAAUAUAUAAAGGAAACAAAGAUUAACUAGGCACUCCUGCUAAACACUAUAGAGGCAAUACAUUAACAGAAGGGUCAAGGAACACCAAGAGCCCAAAUUCCAACCAGUGAUGUUCAUAGAUGGGCUUGUAAGUCCCAUGCCAAGACUCCAGCAAUAAAUACAUUUCCAUUUAUUAAACCAUAUUAUGUAAACAUCAACAUUACUUAAAUAAUAUAAUCUGAUCCCUCUUAGUAUAUAUUUACCCUUCUUUUUCUGACAUCUAAAGUAGUUGGCAUUUCCCAUUAUAUUCUAUCUUAUUUUAUAGCAUUAUUCUUCAAAUAUUUGAUGACAGAACUGUUUUGUGUGUGGGUUUUCUUAUGUUUUGCUUUAUUCCAAAUUAUCAUCUUAAGCAAGAUGUUCUUUGAAAAACAUUUCGGGAAUACGUUUUUUAAACCAUUGGUAUACUUGUCUGUGGGCUGCUUUGCAAAUACACUCAUUGAAAAAAAUGUGACAUGCCUUACUCAUUGGUGUAUGUAUAAUGUUGUGCCUAGCACAGUGCGUUGUACACAAAAGAUAAUAGUUACUUAAAAAUAUGAGUCAAGGAAUUCUGCUCCUUAUUUGGAGAAUUUGGUAGACACAGUAUUUUGAGAUAUGACAAUUUAAUGUCUAAAAAGACUAAGAACUUCAAAAAACUACCAUGUAAGAAUGAAAAGCAUAAUACAAAGAAUAUUAGUUUAAACUUAAAGGACUUAAAAACUAUAAGAUUUUUUAAAAUGUAGUUUAA
RNAcentral lists this long non-coding RNA (3491 nucleotides) under Homo sapiens (human). Its description in RNAcentral is "HSALNT0087454". Lineage: Eukaryota; Metazoa; Chordata; Mammalia; Primates; Hominidae. The record is from RNAcentral.